Paramuricea clavata is the source of this 335-nucleotide non-coding RNA. NCBI's taxonomy places the organism in Eukaryota, Metazoa, Cnidaria, Anthozoa, Malacalcyonacea, Plexauridae. The record is from the annotation of a GenBank genome assembly.
CGAAUUCAAAAGGCGAGACACAAAUGCCUACAUACAAAGACUAAUUUGAAAACAAAAUUCUAUUUUCUUAAUAAAGUCGUGCGGUAUAUACGAUAGCCAAAAGCAGUUCGUCGUAUAUUGUCAUGUAACUUCAAAUAAAUGCAGUGUGGAUCAGGGCCUUUUUUAGGAUUUUCCCGUGGGGGGGGGGCAUUUUUUGAAAAGGGACCUUUCUGUGAGAUAACAUAUUAGAGGGGGAUAGCAAUGGCUGAAAGCCACGUGUGUGGCAAAUAUAUCACGCAUGAAUGGGGGGAUCUGGGGGUGUACUCCCCUAGAAAAUUUUUGAAAUUUGAACCCGG